GGCUUAGAGUUUGAUCAUGGCUCAGGAUGAACGCUGGCGGCGUGCUUAACACAUGCAAGUCGAACGAAGCUUGAUUCCGGAUCUUUCGGGAGAAGGAUGAUAUGACUGAGUGGCGGACGGGUGAGUAACGCGUGGGCAACCUGCCUCAUACAGGGGGAUAACAGUCAGAAAUGACUGCUAAAACCGCAUAAGACCACAGCACCGCAUGGUGGAGUGGUAAAAACUCCGGUGGUAUGAGAUGGGCCCGCGUCUGAUUAGCUGGUUGGUGAGGUAACGGCUCUACCAAGGCAACGAUCAGUAGCCGGCUUGAGAGAGUGGACGGCCACAUUGGGACUGAGACACGGCCCAAACUCCUACGGGAGGCAGCAGUGGGGAAUAUUGCACAAUGGGGGGAACCCUGAUGCAGCGACGCCGCGUGAGUGAAGAAGUACUUCGGUAUGUAAAGCUCUAUCAGCAGGGAAGAAAAUGACGGUACCUGACUAAGAAGCCCCGGCUAACUACGUGCCAGCAGCCGCGGUAAUACGUAGGGGGCAAGCGUUAUCCGGAAUUACUGGGUGUAAAGGGUGCGUAGGUGGCAGGGCAAGUCAGAAGUGAAAACCCGGGGCUUAACUCCGGGACUGCUUUUGAAACUGUCCAGCUGGAGUGCAGGAGAGGUAAGCG
This 660-nucleotide ribosomal RNA is filed under the name uncultured organism. Its description in RNAcentral is "bacterial SSU rRNA". It matches the Rfam family "Bacterial small subunit ribosomal RNA", at positions 1 to 663 of the family's 1533-position model. The record is from RNAcentral.